GAUGGAGGUCCUGCUUGUAAAGACUAUCAAUCUCUCAGCGGAAUGGAGCUGUCCGAGGCACAGGCUGUGCCAGCCCCUAUGUCUCUCCAAGUCUUGAAGGAGAUGCAGUGAAUAAGAACCAGAAUGGAUCCUGGAGAUCAGGCUAGUCUGAAACCUUUUAUUUUACUCAUUUGUACAGGGGAGGACAUUAAGUCGAGCUAAGUCCAAGUGACUUUGCAGAGGUAAUAAGUGGCAAUACUUUUCCCGACAUUACAAUAUAUAUGGCAUCUUAUGAAAACCCUCAUUUCUCCUUUCCCCUUUCCUUAGUUGCAUGCCCAGAAAAACUUAUCUGAAAAGAGAGUCCGGAAAACUGAGCAGCCACGUCCAGGAGACCUGAGAUUCACAAAGAACCAACAAGCAAUGUGUAAUUAAAAUAAUCAAACCAGAAAUCAAGCUUUGAAUUAUGCCAACUAUGAACGGUAUAAAGUGUGACAAGUUAAUGAGCUCUUUAUGGCUGGGGGAGAUUUACACCCUUCAAAAAUCCAGAGUAGCCUCGGGUAAGCACAACUUUUCCCCUUUAGUCUCGUUUUUUCCUCUCACAUUUGUCUGAAUCUUUUUAAUAUUAAUGAGAAAUAAUUUUCCUAAAAUCAAGGCUGUCAUAUAGCCAAAAGAAAAGACCAAACAAGAUGUCUAAAAGCUGUAUAAAAGAUAUAUAGAUAUCUAGAUAUAGAUAUAGAUAUAGAUAGAUCUAUAGAUAUAUAGUGUUUGGCCAAAUUUAAAGAACUAUAUGAAUGGAAACUAUUACCUUCACAGGCUUGGAGCAAAAGUCAGUCCCUCCCAUUUUAUAUCAGUUUCCUCUCAUGUUUCCGAUUGAAAUGACAAUAUACUUGUACCUACUGCCAAAAUAUUUCCAUAUGUUAAGAAUGUCUUGUGAAUGCCCUAUAUGUCAGAGCAUUUAGGUGAUACAAUAGAGAGAUCACUGGACUGGGAAAAUCUGUGCUGAAAUCUGGUCUACCUAUGUGACUGGGUAAGUCACAACUUUUAUCUGCCUCAGUUUCUCCAACUACAAAAUGAGCUGGAGAAGGAAAAGGAGUCAAACUACUCUAGUA
This is a long non-coding RNA of Sarcophilus harrisii (Tasmanian devil), 1088 nucleotides long. RefSeq lists it as uncharacterized. The transcript has 3 exons. Lineage: Eukaryota; Metazoa; Chordata; Mammalia; Dasyuromorphia; Dasyuridae. The record is from RefSeq and is a predicted model, not a curated record.